Molecule: unclassified non-coding RNA, 188 nt
Filed under: uncultured Lactifluus
Lineage: Eukaryota; Fungi; Basidiomycota; Agaricomycetes; Russulales; Russulaceae
Description: sequence contains ITS2
Source: RNAcentral
AAUUCUCAACCUUUUCAAUUUCCUUGAAAAGGCUUGGACUUUGGAGGCUUUUGCUGGUCUCUCUAGAGAAGCCAGCUCCUCUUAAAUGAAUUAGUGGAGUCCUCUUUUCCGAUUCCUUGACGUGAUAAGAUUUUCUCUACGUCCUCGGUUUGGCCCUGUAGACCUGCUUCUAACCAUCCAUUGAACCU